GAAGGCUACCCCCUUCUUAGAGUU
RNAcentral lists this transfer RNA (24 nucleotides) under Accipiter melanoleucus melanoleucus. RNAcentral's name for it is "partial tRNA-Thr". RNAcentral also lists the same sequence under 1 other name. The record is from RNAcentral. Lineage: Eukaryota; Metazoa; Chordata; Aves; Accipitriformes; Accipitridae.